UGGGGAAUAUUGCACAAUGGGCGCAAGCCUGAUGCAGCCAUGCCGCGUGUAUGAAGAAGGCCUUCGGGUUGUAAAGUACUUUCAGCGGGGAGGAAGGCGAUAAGGUUAAUAACCUUGUCGAUUGACGUUACCCGCAGAAGAAGCACCGGCUAACUCCGUGCCAGCAGCCGCGGUAAUACGGAGGGUGCAAGCGUUAAUCGGAAUUACUGGGCGUAAAGCGCACGCAGGCGGUCUGUCAAGUCGGAUGUGAAAUCCCCGGGCUCAACCUGGGAACUGCAUUCGAAACUGCAGGCUAGAGUCUUGUAGAGGGGGGUAGAAUUCCAGGUGUAGCGGUGAAAUGCGUAGAGAUCUGGAGGAAUACCGGUGGCGAAGGCGGCCCCCUGGACAAAGACUGACGCUCAGGUGCGAAAGCGUGGGGAGCAAACA
Molecule: ribosomal RNA, 426 nt
Filed under: uncultured bacterium
Lineage: Bacteria
Description: partial 16S ribosomal RNA
Rfam family: Bacterial small subunit ribosomal RNA
Source: RNAcentral